UUUUGUAUAAUGGGUCAGCGACUUAUAUUCUGUAGCAAGGUUAACCGCAUAGGGGAGCCGGAGGGAAACCGAGUCUUAAUUGGGCGUUAAGUUGCAGGGUAUAGACCCGAAACCCGGUGAUCUAGCCAUGGGCAGGUUGAAGGUUGGGUAACACUAACUGGAGGACCGAACCGACUAAUGUUGAAAAAUUAGCGGAUGACCUGUGGCUGGGGGUGAAAGGCCAAUCAAACCGGGAGAUAGCUGGUUCUCCCCGAAAGCUAUUUAGGUAGCGCCUCGUGAAUUCAUCUCCGGGGGUAGAGCACUGUUUCGGCUAGGGGGCCAUCCCGGCUUACCAACCCGAUGCAAACUGCGAAUACCGGAGAAUGUUAUCACGGGAGACACACGGCGGGUGCUAACGUCCGUCGUGAAGAGGGAAACAACCCAGACCGCCAGCUAAGGUCCCAAAGUCAUGGUUAAGUGGGAAACGAUGUGGGAAGGCCCAGACAGCCAGGAUGUUGGCUUAGAAGCAGCCAUCAUUUAAAGAAAGCGUAAUAGCUCACUGGUCGAGUCGGCCUGCGCGGAAGAUGUAACGGGGCUAAACCAUGCACCGAAGCUGCGGCAGCGACGCUUAUGCGUUGUUGGGUAGGGGAGCGUUCUGUAAGCCUG
RNAcentral lists this ribosomal RNA (645 nucleotides) under Salmonella enterica subsp. enterica serovar Braenderup. RNAcentral's name for it is "partial 23S ribosomal RNA". It matches the Rfam family "Bacterial large subunit ribosomal RNA", at positions 606 to 1251 of the family's 2925-position model. The record is from RNAcentral. Lineage: Bacteria; Pseudomonadati; Pseudomonadota; Gammaproteobacteria; Enterobacterales; Enterobacteriaceae.